CCAAAGGCCCUUUUUAGGGCCGCCCAAUUUCUUCGUAAAAGAGCGA
This is a non-coding RNA of Papio anubis (olive baboon), 46 nucleotides long. The record is from Rfam. Lineage: Eukaryota; Metazoa; Chordata; Mammalia; Primates; Cercopithecidae.